Molecule: small nuclear RNA, 105 nt
Filed under: Myotis brandtii (Brandt's bat)
Lineage: Eukaryota; Metazoa; Chordata; Mammalia; Chiroptera; Vespertilionidae
Source: RNAcentral
GUGCUCACUUCGGCAACAAAUAUACUAAAAUAGUAAUGAUGCAGAGAUUAGCAUGGCUCCUGCACACGGAUGACAUGCAAAUAAAAAUAAAUAAAAAUAAAAAAC